GGGCGCAGGCCCGGGAUAGGAGGCAGAGCGCAAGGGGCGGGGGUGGCGUGGAGGGGGUGCCUGCCGGCGGUCAACCCCGCUGUAGCGGGGUUGUCAUGUCUCGCCAGACGAAGGAUGACUUUCUACGGCAUUAUACGGUCUCCGACCCCAGGACCCAUGCCAAGGGCUACACCGAGUACAAAGUAACCGCGCAGGUGAGGUGGGGCCCAGCGGGGACCUUACCCUUUUAAGUAGCCAGGGGGUUGUGCUUUACCUUAAGGGAAGGCGCUGUAGGAAGCUCCUUUUUUAGACGACAGAAAUGGGUUUCCCCUUUAAGGAAAGCCUGUGGUGGGCGCUGACGUUGACUUCUUUCACCAUCGGGGGCGGGGCCGUGGAAGGGCGUGGUCCUCUUUAAAAGGGCGUGGACACAGUUCCCGGACUUGUGAGGUGCGUGUGCCCACGCCCGACGCUUGCAGCCUGUGCCUCCGUCUGUGAGAUUCUCAGACGUGAAAACUCUGGCUUAACCCAAACGUUAGUUAGUUUCCCAAUUUGGGGGUAAGUUUCAUUUAUUGGUUUGUUGGAUACCUAAAAACCCUUUAAAGAGUUUAUUUCUUAAAAAAAUUAAUACAGGUCUAUGGUUUAAAAAAUUCACAAUUCAAAAGGACUUGAAUCUUCACGGUCAUCGCAGGAAGAGGAUAGGUAAAGGCCAUAGUGGAUGUUGGAAGCAAUAUUAUAAGCACAUUUUAUAGAGACAUGGAGAAAACCAUGAAAAGAAUUUAAGAUAAAACGGCAUAAGAGACUGCCUGUAGAAUGAUUUGUAAGAACCGGUAAUAAUGGAGACCUCCAGGGAAAGUCUCUGGGGAAGGGGGUUGAGGAAGGACUUUUUUAGUGGGUUUUUUUGUUUGUUUUGUUUUGUUUUUUGCUAGGGAUUGAACCCAGGGGCAACACUCUAACACUGAGCUACAUCUCCAGCCCUUUUUAUUUUGAGAAAGGGCCUCACUAAAUUGCUGAGGCUGGCCUUGAACUUGUGAUCCACCUGCCUCAGCCUCCUGAGUCAGACGUGUGUCACAGCAUCCAGUUUAGCGUUCGUAUUUUAUACUCUUAGAAUUUUGGCAACAGGCAACUACUAAAUGCAGAAUCCUAGAUGUUUUUAAAAUAUGCUUUCCCCAAAUCUUUUAUGUCAUUCCCAUGCCAAAAAACUACAAAUAAAGAGAUUGCCCCUGGUAGAUGGGCAGGAGGGGUAGGGGGGUAGAAAGGAUGUGGCCUUCUUCUGCAACCUUUGCCUACAUGCCUCCUACUGACUUUUUAAACCAAGUAACAUUUAUUAUUUGAGAUAGUUGGGAUGGGUCUAUAGUUUUUUGUGGAUUGGGGUGUUUUUGUUUUGUGCUUUCCAGUAAUGCAGAUUGACCCCAGGACAUUGUGUGUGCUAGACAAGCCCUCUGUCAUCAAGCUACAUCUCCAACCCUACUUUGAUAUAUUUUUAUAAAUAUAUCAAAAAAAUCUUUUAUAAAGAUAAAUUUUGCCUACUUGCUAUCCCCAUGUCUCUGUUGCUACCAGUUUGUUGAUCCUUGAAAAUAACUACAUUUACAAGCAAAUUAACGUGUCUACUUUAGUAGUAUUAUUUACACACAAUGGAGUUGCGCUUCUGACUCUUUUUGCUUACUGGUGUUUCUAAGUGAGUUUUUGUGUUUUAUUUUACUUUAAAAUUUUUUAAGAUUGCAAAUAAAAGCAUUCUGACUCAUUUUUAUUAUCAAAAAAAAUAUUAAAUUGAGACACAGUUUACAUAAAUGAGCUCAGUCUUCAAUGUACAGCCUAAUCAAAUUUCACUAAAAGUAUAAUGUGUGCAAACACCACUCAGAUGGAGAGAGACAUUUUCAUGACUCCAGAAAAUUUCUUUUCAUCUCUCCAAUCACUGGUCACCCUCUCGAAGAGAUCACUAUACUCAUCUGAUUUCUGUCACCAUUGAUGAAUUUGGUUUGUUCUUGAAUCUCAUAUGAAUGAAGCAAUGAAACAAAUAUUCUUUUGUGUUUGACUUUUUUAACUCAACAUAAUAUUUUUGGAAUUCGUCCAGGGCUUUGCACAUGCUGAUCAAGUGUUCUACCAAGUUAAAUCCCUGCCUUUUUUAUUUUUUUGGUACCAGGGGAUGAACCCGGGGCGCUUGAGCACUGAACCACAUCCUCAGUCCUUUUUAUUGUUUAUUUUGAGACAUAGCUGGCCUUGAGCUUAUGAUUCUUCUCCCUCAGCCUCCUCAGUCACGGGAAUUAUAAGCAUGCACCACGACACACGGCCCCAGCCCUUUUUAUAUUUUGAGACAGUGUCUCCCUAAAUUGCUGAGGCUAGCCUCAAACUUUCAAUCCUCCUGCCUCAGCCUCUUGAGUCAAAAGGAUUACAGGUGUGCAUCACUACACCUGGCUCACCAUUUCUUUAUUACUUAUGUUGAAUAUUUUGUUUUUUUCUUAAACGUUUUUUUAGUUGUUAAAUUGUAUGAACUCUCAUGUACAAAAUUUUUUUCUGGACAUAUCUGCUCAUUUCUCUUUGGGAUACACAUAGGAAUGGUACUGCUGGCGUGUAAGAUAGGUAUACGUCUAGCUUUACUAGAAAUUGCCAGAAAGUUUUCCAAAGUAGUUGCCCAUGUCAUGCAUCCCUUAUCACCUGCACUGGAAAUCAACAGGAUCUUUAAUUUUAGUUAUUCUUGGUAUGUAUUUGGAGUAUUAAUUUGCAUUUCUCUAAUGAGUUGAUAUUGAGCACAUUCUCAUAAUAAUCUUACAGGUCUUUUUUGUGGGAGGUGCCUGUUCAAGUAUUUUGCUCACUUUUUUCAAGCUAAUUUUGCCAUAUUUAUUCAUACCAAAUCACACUGUGUUGACAGGUAAUGAUUGAAUACAGAUACAGGCUGUCAGGAAAAGGGGAGGAGAAAGGGAGCCCUUAAAAUAGGGGGUGGGGUUGCGGCUCAGUGGUGGGGCGCUUGGCUGUGUGUGCAAGCUGUGAGCAUUUUGAGCGCUUGAGCUGACUGGACUGUGUGUACGUGUGUGUCCUUUUCACUAGCUCUGCCUUUUGAUCCCACUCAGCACCUGAGAUGGGCGUGGACUUCCAAGAUGUAAGUUAAUCUGCUGACCAUAAGACAUCUGGAAGCUAGACUCCACCCCCUGAAACCUAACCCCCCACACCAUUGGGGUGGAAAAAGGGGCUUUAGAAGUCCUCCUUCUCUUUCUCUCUCUCUCUUUUUUUUUUUUUGUGUGUGUGUGUGUGGUGCUGGGGAUUGAACCCAUGGCCUUGUACAUGCGAGGCAAGUACUCUACCAACUGAGCUAUAUCCCCAGCCCCCUCUCUUUCUUUAUUUCUGCCUCCCUAGUGGGAGCUGGAGCUGGGGAGCCAUCGCUGAAGAAUCACGAGAAAGAGGUAUUUUCCCUCUAGGUGUGGUUACUUCGUGCCAGCCCACAUUCACCUGGAGUGAACCUGAACGACUGACUUAGUUGUGUGUUGUGGCAACUGGGUUUCAUUCUCAGCCCUGCAUAUAAAUAAAUAAAAUAAAGGUUCAUCAACAGCUAAAAAAAAUUUUUUUUAAUAGGAUAAAAUGGCUGGGUAUGGUGGCACAUGUCUGUAAUUUCAGCAGCUCCGGAGGCUGAGGCAGGAGGAUCACAAAUUCUAAGCCAGCCUCAGCAACUUGGCCAGGGACUGAGCAACUUAUCAAAACCCUCUCUCUAAAUAAAAUGUAUAAAAUAAAAAGGAUGGGAUAUGACUCAGUGGUUAAGUGUUCAAUCCCUGAUACCCCCCCCCCCACAAAAAAAGGAUUAGGGCUCAGUGGUAGAACACUUGCCUAGCACAUGUGAGGCACUGGGUUCGAUUCUCAGCACCACAUAUAAGCAAAUAAGUGAAAUAAAGGUCCAUCAACAACUAAAAAAAAUUAAAAAACAACAACAACAACAAAAAAAAGAUUAAACACCAGGCCUUCUGAAAAGCAAUAAGGAGCCUCUUUCCAGAGGCUGCUCUCAGGUGACACUCAUGGAACUGCUGCAUCUUUAAAUUAAAGUCCUACAUUAAAUACGAAUUAUGUCAAAGUCACAUUUCUGAGUACCAUCCUUUGAGAAUGACUCCCACCAGGGAGGCAGAAAUAAAGAGAGGGAGGACAUUCUAAAGUCCCUUUUUCCUCCCCAAGUUCGUGGUCUUAAAGCAGCUUUCACAUGUUGUUAGUUAUCUUCUGAACUGUGAGACAGGUACUCUUUUCUCAACUAUUGAUGUGGAAACUGAGGCUUACAGAUAUUAAGUGACUUGGCCAUAUUUUGCUCAUUUUUUAAAAAUUGAGUUGUCUUAACAUUGAUUUUGUAGAGGGCCUUUAUAUUUUCUGGAUUUGAGUCCUUUAUCAGGUAUAUAUUCCUAUUUUUUUGGGGGGGGGGUACUAAGGAUUGAACCCAGGGGGUAUCCCUCAAGGGUUUUUAAAUAUGGGCUUUGGGUUUGGUUUGGUUUUGCCAUGUUUUAGGCAGGUCAGUUGUCAGAAGCCAAGGCCCGGUUUUCGUCUCAGCGCUCCCUUGCAGGCCAUCCCCCUCUCUGAGCCUCCAUGAUUUCAUCUUUUAAAUAGCAUGUCAAUGUGCCCCACUGCGAUCUAGGAGAAGGAAUAAGAAGCGUUUUAAAAACCGUCAGGUGCUGGGCUGGGGCUGGGCUCAGAGGAGGAGCACUCACCUAGCAUGCAUGAGGCACUCGGUUCGAUCCUCAGCACCCCAUAAAAAUAAAAGGUAUCAAGGGAAAAAAAACCUGUCAAGUGCUGCAAACUGUGGGACAUUAUUUUUAAAUGAUUAUGAACAUAACUUAAAACUGAAUCUUCUUGUCAGCUCAGACCCAACUCUGCACUUCGAGGGUCACCAGCCUCAGAGGUGGCUUCUUCUGUGACUGGGGGUGUUGGAACGCAGAGGAUGGGACUGGCUCCUGGCACACACAUCUCCCUCCCUCCCUCCCUCCCUCCCUCCCUCCCUUCCUCCCUUCCUUCCUUCCUUCCUUCCUUCCUUCCUUCCUUUCGGUCUCCUUUUUCAAUGCUGGGGAUUGAACCUAGGGCCAGGUGCAAGCUAGGCGGGCGCUAUUACCACUGAUCUACAUCCCCAGCCCUUUUAAGAUUUUUUUUCUUUUAGAGACAGGGUCUCCCUAAGUUGCCCAGGCUGGCUUUGAACUUGGGAUCCUCCUGCUUCAGCUGCCCCAGUGGCUGGGAUUAUAGGACGUGCCACCACAUUCAGCACAGCCUCAUUUCUUCAGAGGUUCGGGGUUCUUUGGUUUCGGGAGAUACAGAGACUUGGCCUCUGAAGGCACAGGUUGAGAGCUGAACAGAGGAUGGUGCAGUCUGGAGAGGCUUUAGGGAUCCUCCCAUUUGAAGGAUGAAGGAACUAAGGCAUGCAGAAGAAAAAUUGCUCAAAAUUACACUAAAGCCUUAACUUCAGGAUGCCUUAGUGGCUGAAGGACAUCUCCCUUUGAGGAGGACUGAGAGGUCCCUGGUGCCUCCUCAGCUGCUACAGUUUGGUGGGGUGUCAGAUGUCUGUCUCUCAUCUCAUGUGGUUCUUGCCUUUACUUUCUCAGUUCAUCUCAAAAAAGGACCCAGAGGAUGUCAAAGAGGUGAGAAUCGGGGGUGGCAGGGGGACCGUUCCCCAAUUCCCCAGUUCCAGAUCUGGAAGCAGUAGGGUUAUAGAUAACUGUGAGGAGCUGGGCCCUUCCUCCCUGGCCCCUAGUGGUUGGGAUGCUGUCUUCUCCUCACAGGCCCUGGGGCAGACUGGGUGGGGGGAAGGCUACUGCCCACCUUGCUGGCCAGGUUAAGUCUCAUGCCCCUCCUAGGUGGUGGUCUGGAAGCGGUACAGUGACUUCCGCAAGCUGCAUGGGGACCUGGCCUACACCCACCGCAACCUCUUCCGCCGCCUGGAGGAGUUCCCAUCCUUCCCCCGUGCCCAGGUGUUUGGUGAGUGUCAGAUCUGAGCUCUCGGCCCAGGACAGGAGAGUUGGGCAAAGGGGGCCAUUGGCCCUUGGCUGGGCGAUGGCUAGAGAGAUGGGGCCCAGAACUAUAGGCAAAGACAUUUGGAGAGCUGGGUGGAUCCUCUGAAGGGAAAUGGAGGCUCAGAGAAGCCUAGCCCUUGUUGUGAGUUGGGCCCUUUAACAUUCCUACCCCCCUCUCUCUCUCUCUCUCUCUCUCUCUCUCUCUCUCUCUCUCGCUCUCUCUCUCUCUUUUUUUUUGUACUGGGGAUUAAACCCCAGAGAGCCUUACCACUGAGCUACAUCCCCAGCCCUUUGUAUUUUUUAUUUUGAGACAGAAUCUUUCUUAGUUGCCAAGGCUAUCGUCAAAUUUGCAAUUCUCCUGCCUCAGCCUCCCAUAUCACUAGGAUUGCAAGUGUGUGCCACCAUGCCAGAACAUUCCCAUCUUUAUUACCCCUACUUUCAUGAUGAGGAAUCUGAGGUUCAGUGAGGUAAAGGGUCUUGGUCUGUGUCUUAGUUUGUUUCCUGUUGCUAAUAGACACAAUACAACAGACUAGGCAAAUAAUUAACAGAAGAGGUUUAUAUGUCAGGUGUGGUGGGCAGUGCCUGUAAUUCCAGUGACUAAUAGGCUGAGGCAGGAGGAUCACAAGUUCAAGGCCAGUCUGGGCAACUUAGGGAGACCUUAAGCAACUUAGCAAGAGCCUGUCCCAAAAUAAAAAUAUUUUAUUUUAUUUUAUUUAUAUUUUUUAAAGAGAGAGAGAAUUUUUUUUUUAAUAUUUAUUUUUCAGUUUUUGGCGGACACAACAUCUUUGUUUGUAUGUGGUGCUGAGGAUCGAACCCGGGCCGCACGCAUGCCAGGCGAGCGCGCUACCGCUUGAGCCACAUCUCCAGCCAAAAUAAAAAUAUUUUAAAAGGGCUGGGAUGCAGCUUGGUAGUAAAGCACCCCCAGGUUCAAUUGCCAGUACCACAAAGGGAGGAAAAAAGUUUACUUUGGCUCAUAGUUAUGGCAGAAGAUUUAGAGGCCACAUCUGGUGAUGGCCUUCUUGCUGGCAGAGUCCCCAGGAAGCAUGGGGCCUCACAUGGCAAGAGACAGGGACCUUGGCAGACACCUAGCCAAACUUUUUUUUUUUUUUUUUAAGCGCUGGGGAUUAAACCCAGGGCUUUGUGUAUGCAAGGCAGGCAAUCUGCCAAUCAAGCUAUAUCCCCAUCCCACAAACUCACUCUUGAGAUAACCCAUUUACCCAUUAACCCACGGAUCACAUGAGUCCCCAGACUCACAUGAGAUAUUCUUUGUAUGUGUGUGUGUGUGUGGUGCUGGGGAUGGAACCCAGGGCCUUGUGCAUGCAAGGCAAGCACUCUACUAACAGACCUAUGUCCCCAGCCCACAAGGUGAAGGAUGCUGUUACUUGCUACCACAGGAAUACAUCAGGCUGCUCCCUCUAGCAACAUAAUAACUUUAGAUAAAUUUUAAUAAUAUCUAUACCAGCAGUGAGACUGCUGCUUGCUGUGUGACCUUGGGCAUAGCACAUCUCUGAGCCUUACUUUCCUCUUUAUUAUAUCACAUCCAUCUGAAAUGACUUUGUUUCUUGUUGAUUACCUUCCUUCCCCAUUACAGUGUCACAUCCUUGAGAGCGGAGACUUUGUUUCUCUCAUCCGUCUUGAACCCAGCAUAGAGCAGGUGUUUAGUUAAACAUCUGGGGUGCAGUGGUGCACACCUGUGAUGCCAGCUACUUGGGAGCCUGAGGCAGGAGGGAUUGCAAGUUUGAAGACUUUUGUUGUUGAUGAUACUGGGAUUGAACUCAGGGACUUGUGCAUGGUAGGCAAGCACUCUACCACUGAACCACAUCCCCAGCCCAGAAUCAAAAGUUUGUGGGCAACUCAGCAAGACCAUCUCUCAAAGUAAAAUUUUUUUACAAAGGGCUGGGAUGUAGCUCAGUGGUAGAGCACCUGCCCAGAAUGCACAAGUCCCUGGGAUAGAUCACCAGCAUUGACAGGAAAAAAAAAAAGAAUGAAUAGGGCCAGGUGUGGUGGUGCACACCUAUAAUCCCAGCAUCUUGGGAGGCUGAGGCAGGAGGAUCCAGUGUUCAAAGCCAGCCUCAGUAAUUUAGCAAGGCCCUAAACAACUCAGUGAGAUCCUGUCUCUAAUGAAAUAUAAAAAGAGCAGGUAUGUGGCUUGGUGGUUAAGCACCCCUGGGUCCAGUCCCCUGUACCAAAAAAAAAAAAAUAAGAAGAAAUAAAGAAUGAGUAGGGAGAUUGAGCCCUGCAGGAGGCAUCUGGAGAGAUUGCUGGGAGGUUGGGAGGAGGCCAGUAGGCUGCUCAGAGCCUCAGGCAGAGCCAGGAACAGUGGGCCUUGGUGUUAGAAGCCUCUGAGGUCACUGCUCUCCCGCUCCCUUGUCCUGGGACCUCAGGCCGGUUUGAAGCCUCUGUGAUCGAGGAGCGGAGAAAGGGGGCCGAAGAGCUGCUUCGCUUCACCGUGCACAUCCCUGCACUCAACAACAGCCCCCAGCUCAAGGAGUUCUUCCGGGUAUGUGCACCUGCCCUUCCUACCACCCCAGCACCUGGAAAGCUUACCUGCCCACCAAGCUACACUCCCUCUGUUGGUCUUUCUGCAGGGUGGGGAGGUGACACGGCCCUGCGAAGUGUCCAGAGACCUGCACAUUCUACCACCCCCUCUGAUCCCCACACCACCCCCUGAUGAGCCUCGGUUGCCCCAGCCACUUCCUGCAGAAAGGAGGGGCCUAGAGGAGUUGGAGGUGUCAGGUACAUGAGAAUGGGGGGAGGAAGCCAGAAUUGGGGGACAGGAAGGCAGGGCUCCACACUCCUAUCCCUACCUGUGAUCAUAGUGACAACCCUGUCGUGUCCCGUGCACCUGCUGAGGUCUUUGGAUAGGUCAUUUCCUGUCUUUAGUUUCAGUUUCUUAAUCUGUAAAAUGGGCACAGACCCUGAUGAUGGGCUUGUCUAGGCCUAUUGCUGCAAGGACUUACUGAGAGGAUCAUCCCAUUUUGAACUCUGGCGAGUGGUUUAUGUGCAGGUGUUAAUAUCCCAAUGGUCUGUCCUCAGCGGACCCCCCGCCGUCCAGCCCUGCCCAGGAGGCUCUGGAUCUUCUCUUCAACUGUGGCAGCACAGAGGAGGCAUCCGGCUCCCCUGCCCAGGGCCCUCUCUCUGAGGCUGAGCUUGCUCUCUUUGACCCCUUCUCCAAGGAAGGUAAGGAGCAGGGGCAGGCAGGGCAGGGGUUGCAGUAGCAGGUCCUUGGGGGCAAAAGAGGAGGCAGGACCACCAGCCAGCUGUUUGCAACUGUGUAAAUCUGAGCAAGUUGUCCCUGUACAGUGAGCAACCAUUGGGGAAGGAGAUGAGCCAUUUCUCCCUAUGAAAGCUUGGAAGAGCAGGGUCACAUUGCUCUGGAAGGUUUUAGCCUGUCCUGCAAGUCCAAGGUGGGGCUUCCUGGCUGGCUCAGGGUCCCCUGCAGAUCCUGGAGGUAGGAGAAGCCUGUCAGUGGGCUCAAAGAGCAGCAGCCAAGGGAAGCCACUGUGCCUUGGAGGCCACCAGAAGCAGAUGAGCUCCCCACAUGGGGCAGGGUCCUGAGCACUUUCCUGCUCUGAGACCAGGAACAUGAUAGUUCCCAACAGUGAGACACUGGGUUUUUCAUUCAGAAAUUCUCCAAGCUUCUGCUGUAACUGCAACCCAGGUGUUAAAGUGGUCAAUCUCACUUUGGGAUGAUCGUGAAACAGUUUCUCUUUUUAUUCCUUAGGAGUGUUUUUUUUUUUUUAAAUAUUUAUUUAUUUAUUUUAGUUUUUGGCGGACACAACAUCUUUGUUUGUAUGUGGUGCUGAGGAUCGAACCCGGGCCGCAGGCACACCAGGCGAGCGCGCUACCGCUUGAGCCACAUCCCUAGCCCCCCUUAGGAGUGUUUUUAAGCUGGUUUUGUUGGCCCUCCUUGUUUGCCCUUUGGUGGCCUUGAGGGCUGACCCCCCACCUUCUGAUGAGUUUCAGGCAUCUGAGGCCCAGCCUAGGAGAGGAAACAGCCUAGGCCAGCCUGUGUCAGCUCCCAUCUAGCUGUCAGCCUCACCUUCCCCCUGGCUCAGGCCAGUGGCCAGUGGCCAGUGGCCAGGCCAGCAAGUGACAAGGGUGUGAGGAGCUUGCUUUUGCUUGUUCUUCUUCCACACCUCCAAGGUUGGGGAAGGGGGAGAAUGGAUUGGGGGACAGAAGUGGUGGUAUCACCGGGGAUGUUGUACCAUCCUCUGAGUGGCAGGCACCCAGAUUCCCUGGCCCAGCUGAGCUCUCUAGGGUUCCUGGUGGAGGAUAGGACAGCCACUGGCAGUUGCUGUUUUUUUUUUUUCUUUUGGUACCAGGGAUUGAACCCAGGCGCUUUAAUACUGAGCCACAUCCCCAGCCCUUUUUAUAUUUUAUUUAGAGACAGGGUCUCACCAAGUUGUUUAAGGCCUAAGUUGUUGAGGCUGGCCUUAAACUUGUGAUCCUCCUGCCUCAGCCUCCUGAGAUGCUAGGAUUACAGGUGUGCGCCACCACACCCGGCUUGGCAGUUGCUUUGAAAGGCCCUUUACAGGUUGCACCCCUGAAACAUUUACUGUGUCCAUAGGAAAAUUCCCCAAUCCUUGUGUCCCUGUUGCUGAAGUGCAGUGUGCUCAGGCACUUCCUUCCCUCCUGCUCCCCAACAGUCGUGUAUGCCAGGAGCCAGCACCCCAUCUCUCUCUUUUUUUUGUUUAUUUAUUUAUUUAUUUAUUUAUUUAUAUUUUAGAUGUUGAUGAACCUUUAUUUUAUUUAUUUUUAUGUGGUGCUCAGGAUCGAGCCCAGUGCCUCACACUUGCUAGUCUGGCACUCUACCAUUGAGCCACAACCCCAGCCCCACCCCUGCCUCUCUUCUUCAGACACUAAGCUCCUGACCUCAAGUAUUUAGGGGCUCCACAAACUCUUGCACUCCCUGCUUCCUGAGCAACACAGGGAGGGCUCUAGGCCCAGCUGGGAGGGGCGACAUCCUCCUGCCUUCCUGCCACUCAUCUCUUCAUGGAUCUCCUGGGACUCCCCAUUUGGAUGGGGCCGGAGAAAUGCCCACUCGUGCGUUCCCUCUCCAGGACAGGAAUGCCAUGGUGCUCCCUGCUCCUGUACCUUCCUGUCAAAGGCCUCUUCUCAAAAGACUCACUGACUCUGUAGCCACCUCAUAUGAAAGCCACAGGGAGGAUCUCUGACCACCUCCAGGACGUCAUGAGCCCUUCAGCCUGGAACAUGAAGAUGCCAGUUGCCCACUGCCCCUCGCCCUGGGGUUCUCAGCUGAGAUUUCAAGAUCUUGAAAAAGUCCUGGCGAGGGCUGGGGUUGUGGCUCAGGGGUAGAGCACUCGCUUAGCAUGUGUGAAGCACUGGGUUUAGUUCUCAGCCCCACAUAAAAAUUAAUAAAUUUUUACAACUACAACUGAAAAAAAAAAAAAAGAAAAAAGAAAAAUCCCCGGAGGGUGUAGCUUGCCUAGCAUGUGCAAGACCCUGGGUUCGAUCCCCAGCACUGUCAAAAAAAAGAAGGACGGAAGGAAAGCAGCAUUUUCACCCUUAGCCUGAUAGCUGGUCUACCAUCCUGUAACUGAACUUGUGGAGAAACUUUUGCAUUCCUAGGCCAACCGGAGUCAGGAAAGAAAUAGGACCAGUGAGUGACCCAGAGCUCAAUAAGAAAAAAUUAGUGUAUACCUAAAGAAUUAGGAGGGUAGGACUCUUUUUGCUAUACUCAAGUGGCUUCUAGACUGUCCAGGCCCUGCACCCCUCCGCUGAGGACACACUGGUACCUAGAUGGGUCACAGAGGUUUCGGAGGGGUCAACAGUCCCUGGGAAAUGAAGGGCCAGUAAGGCUUGAAUGCUCUUUUUCUGAUUGCAGAAGGCGCAGGCCCCAGUCCCACCCACAUAGGUGAGCUGGCAGCCAUGGAAGUAGAGUCCACGAGGCUGAACCAGGAGCCCUGGGAGCCAGGAGGGCAGGAGGAAGAAGAGGACGGAGGAGGGCCUCGCCCUGCCUAUCUUAGCCAGGCCACAGAGCUCAUCACCCAGGCCCUGCGGGACGAGAAGGCAGGCGCCUACCCUGCUGCUCUCCAGGGCUACCGAGAUGGUGUGCACAUUCUGCUCCAGGGGGUGCCCAGUGAGUAGGGGCUGGAGGGUAGAGGGUCAGGCCUGGGGUCCUAGAUGGAGCAGUAAGGAGGGGAAAGUGAAAAGCAAGCAAGGACCAGGAGCCUUUCUCCUCACUGCCUGAUGACCAUGUCACUUUGAGAAGAUUAUUUUCCUUCCUCUUGGUGGCUUCAGUUUUCUUUUUAGUAGAAUGGGGAGGAGAGACAUGGUAAGUCCCAGGGAAGGGAGAAGGACACAUGAUGCUGCUCUGUGAACCGUAAGGGCUAGACCAGGGGUUCUGGGCUCAAGUACUCAGCUGAGCCAAUCUCUCCACAGGUGACCCGUCCCCUGCCCGCCGGGAAGGUGUGAAGAAGAAGGCAGCUGAGUACCUAAAGCGGGCUGAAGAGAUUCUACACCUGCACCUGUCUCAACUGCCGCCCUGAGGAGUGGGCCUUCCAUAGGACUCUAGCUCCAGCACUGCCAGCCUCCCCCUCUCCUUCCCCAGCAACCCCAGGGGCCAUUUCUGUACGUAACUGGACCAAGGAACACAAUGGCUCCCUGCCUGCCUGCCUUCUUGGAGUCAGGACUCUAUAUGUGCCAGUAUCUAUCAUGAUGUGGCAGCAGCAGGUCUCGUCAUUAAAACUUGUCAGUUUAGCCAUCUGGAACUGGGGUCUGCAGACUGCAGCCUACAGCCAGAUCUGGCUCAUCACCUACCUUUUUUUUAAGGCCCACAGGCUAGAAUGGUUGCUACAUCUUUUUAAUGGUGUGUGUGAUGGGGAAUCAAAUGAGUAAGAGUCUGUGACUAGUGAAAAUUAAAUGAGGGCUGAGGUUGUAACUCAGUGGUGGAGAGCUUACCUGGCACUUGUGAGGCACUGGGUUCGAUCCUCAGCACCACAUAAAAAUAAAGGUAUUGUGUCCAUCAACAACUAAAAGAAUUUAAAAAAUAAUAAUAAAAUGAAAGUUAAGUGUCUAUGAAUAAAAAUUGUUGGAACAUAACCAGGCUCAACCACAUCUAUGGCUGCAACCAGCAGAUUUGAGUAAGGCGACCAGCAAAUCCCAAAACAGUUUUUCUUUUUUCUCCAUCAUUCUGAGGAUUGAAACCCGGGUCUCAGGCUUUCUAAGCACACCCACUAGAUCUAUCUGUCUGUCUGUCUGUCUUUCUCUCUCUCUUUCUCUAAUGUUUUAGUUGUCAAUGGACCUUUAUUUAAUUUUUAUGCGGUGCUGAGUAUCAAACCCAGUGCCUCACACAUGGUAGGCAAGCGCUUUACUCCUGAGCCACAACCCCAAAACCCCUCUCCGCCUCUUUUCUGUUCUUUUGCGAGUGGGUCUAAGUUGCCCAGGUUGGCCUGGAACUUGUCCUCAUGCCUCAGCCUCCCUCCUCAGGACUGCAUCCUCGGACCGCUGCACCUAUCCCAAGACAUUUUCUACUUGACUCUUUGCAAAAAAAAAAAAAUAAUAAUUGCUGGGAGCCAUUAGCCAAGUAGGUAUGACAAUUUCCUUGCCAGCGUACCCCAUGUUGCUGACAUGUUGCAGUGACAUUAUAUGUAGGUGACCUUGCUCAAGGACCAAGGCAGAUUAGGGUGUUCCCGGUUUUAAGAUAAUCGUGUUUAGGGCGUUCCCAGUUUAGGUUCCAGGUUUAAGGUUUAAGAUUAUUCCUGCUGGGAAUAGGGCGUAUCCUGCUGCCUGAGUUCCCCUUGAGUUCUCACGGGAUUCAGACAGUAUAUUUUGGGAGAUAGAAGCCCAGUGGAGGGGGAUUUGGGCAGAGAACGUGGAUUUGGGAAGAGAACGUGGAUUUCCCCAGAACGUGAUUGUAGACGGCUGGUGUGAGUUCAGGAAUAAAGAGUUGCUGUUUGAAUCUACAAGCUGUGUGGUGGCUCGUGAUUGUGUGCCCAGCCAGACUGUGGCAUUUGUGCCCAGCCAGACUGCGGCAUUUGGCGUCCCGUGCGGGGAACUUCUGAAGCUUAGAGGUAAGUGAAAUUGCUCGCCCCUGAGGAAGAGCGAAAGAAUGGGUGACCAACUCAAAAAACAAUGUGUUAUUGUUUUGAUUUAUCUUGUUUUUGUUUCAAGCUGCCUAUCCCUAGAAAUUUCUCAGGCAAACUGGAAAAAAUGGUUGACUAAAGGUUUGAAGUUUGUCGGCCCUGAGGAAGAGAAAAUUGAUACAACGAUUUUUUAUUCCGUUUUUGUUUCAUUCAGUUUCGGCUUUGUUUUGUGCUAUCUUAUUGGGUUGCGUUAUCUUUAUAGUAGAUUAGAAAUUAGUAAAAAACAAACCGAAAAGAUGUUAAGUAAAUUGUUAGAGGUUCAGACCAUGGAGAAAGACAUUUUAGAUCAAGCAAAAGAGAAGGUCUCUCGAGCUAGUCAGACAGAGGAAGAAAAUUUAAAGGAAAAGGGGUUGUUAGGAAAAAGGCCACAACAGGAGGCUGUUACUAACUCCAUUUUAUCACAAGAGGGCGUAAUUCAACCAACAGCCCCACCGAUGGAGACAGCUGAGUGGCCCUCAAACCCCGUAGUUGAUAAAUGGGAUCCUGAGACAGGACCUCAAAGAUUAGCAUGCCCUGUACUUGAACAGGCAGGAGGGCAGCGAAUUCACCGUGCUUUAGAUUUUAAAACAGUGAAGCAGUUAAAGGAGGCUGUAACAACCUAUGGUCCCCAAGCUCCCUUCACGGUAAGCAUGGUUGAGUCCAUUACUAACUUGGACAUGACGCCAGCAGAUUGGGCUAGCAUGUGUAAAUCUGUACUAAAUGGAGGACAAUAUUUGUUAUGGAAGGUUGCCAAUGAGGAAUUUUGCACGGAGACAGCUAGGCGAAAUGCAGCAGCCGGUUACCCUCAAAGAAAUCUAGAUAUGUUGUUAGGAAAAGGACCUUAUGAGGGUCAACGGCAACAAAUUGAAUAUGAUCCUGCUAUAUAUGCACAAAUUGCUGCAGACGCAGUUAGGGCAUGGAAGACUUUACAAGGACAUGGAGAUUUACAAGGUCAGCUAUCUAAGGUAAUACAGAGAGCUAAUGAACCUUACGCUGACUUUGUAGAUAGGCUAAUUCAAACGGCUGCCAAAAUUUUUGGGGAUACAGAACAAGCAAUGCCAUUAAUAAAACAACUGGCUUAUGACCAAGCAAAUCGUUGCUGCAGAGAGGUUAUUAGACCAUGGAGACAUGAAGAUUUAAACACAUAUAUUAAAUUAUGUAGAGAUAUUAAUGAACAAGGGCAAGUCUUGGCAGCUGCAGUACAACAGGCUUUAGAUGCCAGGCCAAAAACAUGCUAUGAUUGUGAACAAACAGGACAUUUUAAA
This 15294-nucleotide long non-coding RNA is filed under the name Marmota monax (woodchuck). The stretch from base 11241 to 11309 matches the Rfam family "tRNA". Lineage: Eukaryota; Metazoa; Chordata; Mammalia; Rodentia; Sciuridae. The record is from RNAcentral.